Molecule: ribosomal RNA, 440 nt
Filed under: uncultured bacterium
Lineage: Bacteria
Description: bacterial SSU rRNA
Rfam family: Bacterial small subunit ribosomal RNA
Source: RNAcentral
CCUACGGGUGGCAGCAGUGAGGAAUAUUGCUCAAUGGGCGCAAGCCUGAAGCAGCGACGCCGCGUGGGUGAUGAAGGUUUUCGGAUCGUAAAGCCCUUUUCUCCCUGACGAGAACGGACGGUAGGGGAGGAAGAAGUGUCGGCUAACUACGUGCCAGCAGCCGCGGUAAAACGUAGGACGCAAGCGUUAUCCGGAAUUACUGGGCGUAAAGCGCGUGUAGGCGGGUGUCUAAGUCACUGUUGAAAGCUUCGGGCUAAACUCGGAGAGGUGCGGUGAGACUGGAUGUCUGGAGAGUGUCAGAGGGGUGCAGAAUUCCGGGUGUAGUGGUGAAAUGCGUAGAGAUCCGGAGGAAUACCAGAGGCGAAGGCGGCACCCUGGGACAUGUCUGACGCUGAGAAGCGAAAGCAUGGGGAGCGAACGGGAUUAGAUACCCCAGUAGU